RNAcentral lists this ribosomal RNA (1274 nucleotides) under Amphorellopsis quinquealata. Its description in RNAcentral is "eukaryotic LSU rRNA". The stretch from base 479 to 1274 matches the Rfam family "Eukaryotic large subunit ribosomal RNA", at positions 1 to 840 of the family's 3401-position model. The record is from RNAcentral. Lineage: Eukaryota; Ciliophora; Spirotrichea; Tintinnida; Tintinnidae.
UGUCGUAACAAGGUUUCCGUAGGUGAACCUGCGGAAGGAUCAUUAACGCUCAUCCAAACCUACUCAACCAAGCCUAUUCGACGAAGCAAUUCGUCUGAAAACCUAACCAAAAGCAAAUAACUAAGCUUAAACCAAAAACAAAUCCUCAACGAUGGAUAUCUUGGUUCCUACAACGAUGAAGAACGCAGCGAAGUGCGAAAAGCAUUGCGAAUUGCAGAACCGUGAGUCAUCAGAUUUUUGAACGCAACUGGCUCUGAAGGGUCCUCCCUUCAGAAUGCUUCUUUCAGUGUGUGCUUAUCUCCUAACCCAAAGCAUAAUGCGACAGAUGCCCUUCUGUUGCUAAGCUUGGAAGCACUCUACGCUUUGCAGUGGCCCUCGGGUCACACUCAAUGCAGCAGUCACGCUCUCAAGUGUGAACUACAUUGAGCGCAGAGGUAGCGCGGCUUGCCGCCAGUGCUUGGACAACCAAAUUUUCUCAGCAUCUGAAAUGAAGUAGGACCACCCGCUGAACUUAAGCAUAUCAUUAAGCGGAGGAAAAGAAACUAACAAGGAUUCCCUCAGUACGGGCGACGGAAGCGGGAAGAGCCCAGACUGGUAAACGCCGGCCUUCGGUCGGCGAGUUGUAGUCUGAAGGAGGUCAGCCUAACGAGCGGAGGCGCAUAAGUGUCCACGAGAGGACCGCCAUAGAGGGUGAGAGCCCCGUAUGUGGUGCCACCGCUCACCGGGCAGGCAGCCAAAGAGUCGUGUACCUUGAUACUGGUGCACUAAGCGGGAGAUAAACUUCUUCUAAGGCUAAAUAAAUGUAGGAAACCGAUAGCGAACAAGUACUGUGAAGGAAAGAUGAAAAGCACUUUGAAAAGAAGGUUAAAAGACUUGAAAUCGUCGAGGCGGAAGCGGUAGAAAUGAAUUCUACGAACGUUCCCGGCGAAGCCUGCUCCGGCGGGCGAGUUGGGGGCGCAGUGAGGCAAGAUGGGGUCGAACGAUGUCAGAGGCGGGUUCGAGCAGGGGCUUCGGCACCACUCGAGCCAAAGCCGGGCAUCGAUCGGCCUGAGGGGCCUUGAGCGAUCUUGCCAAAAUGGUUUUUACCGACCCGUCUUGAAACACGGACCAAGGAGUCUAAGACUAACGCGAGUAUGGUGGUGGAAAAACCAACAUGCGCAAUGAAAGUAAAUGAUGCCAAGGAAACAGCAGCAUCGACCGACCAUGAUCCACUGGUGAAAGGUUUGAGUAAGAGCGUUAUUCUUAGGACCCGAAAGAUGGUGAACUAUGCGUGA